Molecule: long non-coding RNA, 366 nt
Organism: Saccostrea cuccullata (small rock oyster)
Lineage: Eukaryota; Metazoa; Mollusca; Bivalvia; Ostreida; Ostreidae
Exons: 3
Source: RefSeq, a predicted model, not a curated record
UAACAUUUCUUCGUCACAUAAUUCCAAUUGUGACCAGCAUGAAUACGAUCUACAAGUCCAAAUAGAUAUACUUAUGACUGAUUUUAAUGAAACAAACGUGAUUUUUCAAUUUCUCUAUGUUUCUGUCUCUGGGGAUGUUACACGUACAAAGGAUAUUAUCUUCCUAAAAUUCGGAGCCUUUAUUCCGGAAUGCAAAUCAAUAUUGUGCCAGAGCAAUGUAACUUGCGAUGCAAAUGCAAACCCAAAAGACAUAUGCCGAUGCCCUUUGCAGAAUGUGAAGUUUUUCUGUCAAAACAUUGCACAAGAUGAAUUAUGGCAAAAUACUACAGUGGGGAUUGAUAAUUCUAUAAAGCCAAAGCCAUCAGG